RNAcentral lists this long non-coding RNA (704 nucleotides) under Laticauda laticaudata (blue-ringed sea krait). RNAcentral's name for it is "lncRNA (ENSLLTG00000013843.1)". Lineage: Eukaryota; Metazoa; Chordata; Lepidosauria; Squamata; Elapidae. The record is from RNAcentral.
AAAAGUCCAAAAACAAUGGCAAGCCAAUCCUUUAUUUUGUACACAAAUUUAUUCACCCCUUUUCUGUCUCGCUCGUCCCACCCAAGUGAGUCUGUUGCCUACAACGUUGCCAAGAAAACUGCAGGGACAGGUGGUCAAACGGGCGAAAUCGUCUCGCCCUCCCCGCCGGGAACGAAGGAAAGGAGGAACGGGGGCGGAGUAGCCUGCCCUGUUAUCCUAUCGAGACGCGGGAGCUUGCAGUGGAGUUAAAGCGACCCCUGGGCUGUGGCAGCCGGCAGCUAUCACGCUUUCGGAGAGCGCCAUCCUCACCGUUGCAACCAUCCCUCUCUUUCCCCCCCGUACCUCGGCGUUGUAAUGUAAGGUGGAGCCGCGAUUUCCUCGGCGCGCCUAGAAAUGAACUUCCAAGAGCCAUCGGCGUACUCGGAAAGCAGGGAGGGCUUGUUGGCCUCGGGGAUCGGCUGGUCUCUGGUCCUGUGCUUCGGAGCCGCGUAUGUCUGCUAUUAUCUCAGGACGAUCGCAAAGGUGCCUCGGUAGUUGCGCAGGACACACCGCAGAGGAACCCGGCGCCAGCUUCUGGAAAGGGAAGGGCAAACGGACUCACAUGCAGAAAAUCUAGAAUAAAGACUGAAAUCAAUGGCAUGCAUUGUCCUCUCCUACUACGAGUCUUGAUCUGGAUGAUCCUGCCUAUAACAGCAGCCAAUUAA